Molecule: ribosomal RNA, 175 nt
Filed under: uncultured bacterium
Lineage: Bacteria
Description: partial 16S ribosomal RNA
Source: RNAcentral
AGGAUUGUGCGCAUCGGGCGAUCCUUGACGCGCAACGCCGCGUGGAUGGAUGAAGGCCUUCGGGUUGUAAACUCCUUGUCGAGCGGGACGAAUGGGCGGGGCCGCUACUCCGGGGGCGGGACGGUCCCUGCCAGGAGCCCCCGGGAUAACUCUGUCCCACCCCCCGGGUAUAUAA